UACGUAGGGUGCAAGCGUUGUCCGGAAUUAUUGGGCGUAAAGAGCUCGUAGGCGGUUUGUCGCGUCUGCUGUGAAAACCCGAGGCUCAACCUCGGGCCUGCAGUGGGUACGGGCAGACUAGAGUGCGGUAGGGGAGAUUGGAAUUCCUGGUGUAGCGGUGGAAUGCGCAGAUAUCAGGAGGAACACCGAUGGCGAAGGCAGAUCGCUGGGCCGUAACUGACGCUGAGGAGCGAAAGCAUGGGGAGCGAACAGG
Molecule: ribosomal RNA, 253 nt
Filed under: uncultured bacterium
Lineage: Bacteria
Description: partial 16S ribosomal RNA
Rfam family: Bacterial small subunit ribosomal RNA
Source: RNAcentral